RNAcentral lists this ribosomal RNA (497 nucleotides) under uncultured bacterium. RNAcentral describes it as "partial 16S ribosomal RNA". It matches the Rfam family "Bacterial small subunit ribosomal RNA", at positions 28 to 507 of the family's 1533-position model. The record is from RNAcentral.
GAUGAACGCUGGCGGCGUGCCUAAUACAUGCAAGUCGAGCGAACGGACGAGAAGCUUGCUUCUCUGAUGUUAGCGGCGGACGGGUGAGUAACACGUGGAUAACCUACCUAUAAGACUGGGAUAACUUCGGGAAACCGGCGCUAAUACCGGAUAAUAUUUUGAACCGCAUGGUUCAAAAGUGAAAGACGGUCUUUCUGUCACUUAUAGAUAGAUCCGCGCUGCAUUAGCUAGUUGGUAAGGUAACGGCUUACCAAGGCAACGAUGCAUAGCCGACCUGAGAGGGUGAUCGGCCACACUGGAACUGAGACACGGUCCAGACUCCUACGGGAGGCAGCAGUAGGGAAUCUUCCGCAAUGGGCGAAAGCCUGACGGAGCAACGCCGCGUGAGUGAUGAAGGUCUUCGGAUCGUAAAACUCUGUUAUUAGGGAAGAACAUAUGUGUAAGUAACUGUGCACAUCUUGACGGUACCUAAUCAGAAAGCCACGGCUAACUACGUG